Molecule: ribosomal RNA, 522 nt
Filed under: uncultured bacterium
Lineage: Bacteria
Description: bacterial SSU rRNA
Rfam family: Bacterial small subunit ribosomal RNA
Source: RNAcentral
ACUCUAGAGAUAGAGUCUUCCCCUUCGGGGGACAAAGUGACAGGUGGUGCAUGGUUGUCGUCAGCUCGUGUCGUGAGAUGUUGGGUUAAGUCCCGCAACGAGCGCAACCCUUAAGCUUAGUUGCCAGCAUUAAGUUGGGCACUCUAAGUUGACUGCCGGUGACAAACCGGAGGAAGGUGGGGAUGACGUCAAAUCAUCAUGCCCCUUAUGAUUUGGGCUACACACGUGCUACAAUGGACAAUACAAAGGGCAGCUAAACCGCGAGGUCAUGCAAAUCCCAUAAAGUUGUUCUCAGUUCGGAUUGUAGUCUGCAACUCGACUACAUGAAGCUGGAAUCGCUAGUAAUCGUAGAUCAGCAUGCUACGGUGAAUACGUUCCCGGGUCUUGUACACACCGCCCGUCACACCACGAGAGUCUGUAACACCCGAAGCCGGUGGAGUAACCAUUUAUGGAGCUAGCCGUCGAAGGUGGGACAAAUGAUUGGGGUGAAGUCGUAACAAGGUAGCCGUAUCGGAAGGUGCG